AGAGUUUGAUCAUGGCUCAGGACGAACGCUGGCGGCGUGCUUAACACAUGCAAGUCGAGCGAGGACAUGGGCUUCGGUCCGUGUUCGAGCGGCGGACGGGUGAGUAACGCGUGAGCAAUUUGUCCCGGACAGGGGGAUAACAGAUGGAAACAUCUGCUAAUACCGCAUAAGACCACGAGGCCACAUGGCCUUGAGGUAAAAGGAGGAAUCCGGUUCGGGGUGAGCUCGCGUCCGAUUAGCUAGUUGGUGAGGUAACGGCCCACCAAGGCGACGAUCGGUAGCCGACCUGAGAGGGUGAUCGGCCACAUUGGAACUGAGAUACGGUCCAAACUCCUACGGGAGGCAGCAGUGGGGAAUAUUGGGCAAUGGGCGAAAGCCUGACCCAGCAACGCCGCGUGAGGGAAGAAGGUUUUCGGAUUGUAAACCUCUGUCCUUGGGGACGAAGAAAGUGACGGUACCCAGGGAGGAAGCCCCGGCUAACUACGUGCCAGCAGCCGCGGUAAUACGUAGGGGGCGAGCGUUGUUCGGAAUGACUGGGCGUAAAGGGCGCGUAGGCGGCCGAUUAAGUCUGGAGUGAAAGUCCUGUUUUUAAGGCGGGAAUUGCUUUGGAGACUGGUUGGCUUGAGUGCGGAAGAGGUAAGUGGAAUUCCCAGUGUAGCGGUGAAAUGCGUAGAGAUUGGGAGGAACACCAGUGGCGAAGGCGACUUACUGGGCCGUAACUGACGCUGAAGCGCGAAAGCGUGGGGAGCGAACAGGAUUAGAUACCCUGGUAGUCCACGCGGUAAACGAUGAGUGCUAGGUGUAGGGGGUAUCGACCCCUCCUGUGCCGCAGUUAACACAAUAAGCACUCCGCCUGGGGAGUACGGCCGCAAGGUUGAAACUCAAAGGAAUUGACGG
Molecule: ribosomal RNA, 897 nt
Filed under: uncultured bacterium
Lineage: Bacteria
Description: bacterial SSU rRNA
Rfam family: Bacterial small subunit ribosomal RNA
Source: RNAcentral